Gallus gallus (chicken) is the source of this 3590-nucleotide long non-coding RNA. RefSeq lists it as uncharacterized. NCBI's taxonomy places the organism in Eukaryota, Metazoa, Chordata, Aves, Galliformes, Phasianidae. The record is from RefSeq and is a predicted model, not a curated record. The transcript has 2 exons.
CUACAGUAGGUUACACAGGUAGGCAUCCCAAUGAAUCUUGAGUAUCAAUAGAAGGAGACUCCACAAGCUCCCUAGGCAGCCUGUUCCAGUGCUCCAUUACCCUUACUGUGAAGAAUUUGUUCUGCACAUUAUCAUGGAAGUUCCUAUGUUCAAAUUUCAAGCCAUUAUUCCUUGUCCUAUUCCUAAGCACCACAGCAGUUCCAUUACAAACAAGAGCCCAGUGGCACAUCAGUGGCUCACGAGAAGAGCUUUGAAACCCAUGAGAUGGACAAUUAUAUGGUUUGCAUUACAGCUGUGGAGUCAGUAAACAACAUCAGUGGCAGAAUAGCUAGGUCUCCUCUUACUACUCAUCUGAACUGCCAAGGAUAAAACCAACAUUUCACAGAAUCAUUAAAGCUGGAAAAGACCACUAAGAUCACCUAGACCAACCACCAACCCAUCCCCACCAUGCCCACUAAAUCACAUCCCUCAGUGCCUUAUCUACGCUUUUCUUGAACACCUCCAGGGACAGCAUCUCCUCCACCUUGCUGGACAGCCUGUUCCAAUGCACUGCUACUCUGAGAAUAAGUUUUCCCUAAUAUCCAACCUGAUGUUAUUGCUGCUAUCCCUAUGGUUACCCAAAAACUGAGCUAGAGGCCAUGAAACACUUGUCCCCUCCAGUGGAGUGAAGCAGAAGACAACUGCAUUCCUAUGGAGAUCCAGUAACUUCAGCACCAUCUGUGUAUCUGCACCAGCCUGAAGCUUAUGUUAACACAUCUGUUAAGCUUAGGUUGCAACAGGCUGAAAAACAGCUUGUAGCAUCCAAGUUGCUCUCUAGUCAAAACAAGGGCAAGGAGGCAGCAUAAUAUUAGCUGAAUUUAAACCUCAGGAACGCUCCAGCACAUCCAAUCAGUAAAGCAGAUCUUCACCAUCAGUUUUACAUUUUAAGUGGAGCUAGGUUGGAGGCCUGCCCACGAAGCACCACUGUUGAACACAUCAAGCAACCAGUACUGUGCUACAACCAGGGCAAAGUUUGUGUCUACAGUUAAUCAACCUUUAUGUCCUAGGUAGCAGUCCUUAGCUUCAUGUACAACUAUUAAGACAUCCUGAUACUGCUUAGCCCCUCUUCUCUCUCCAGAUCAAUACAGAUUUCUUCAGGAUGCCCCACAGCUCAGGAAACUCCCUGGGAAACAUUGCUCACGUGUUCUCAGUAACCUAGCCAAGCCACAACUGUUUAUCUGGGUGUUGGGCCAAGAAGAAUGAUUCAUUCGUCUCACCAGUUGCUUGCAUCUGCAUGCCCUUCCUGCCAGAAGGGCAGAUGCCAUGUCCUCCUGAACUCUUAAGUCAUCCCUACUGGGCAGACCAAAGACACUACUGAACACCACUACCUACGCAUACACUGCAGUACUGGUAGUAAUUGCCCAUCAUGCUCAUUAGUACAAGAGCAGAGAGUUACUCUGUAAAUAGCACUGAGAAAGCAAGAGCUAUUUUCUGUCCAUUCUAAAUUCCUCAGCUACUCCAGGAGCCAGCCUAUGACUGCCAGAACUGAUUUAACCUUAACUCUUGCCAGUGAGCUGCAGGAUACGAUCACAGUGUCUCCUGAUACCUGGAGUCAGGCACUCAAACAAGGGCUGGGAGCCAGGGGAAGGAAGGGAAUUCAACCCAGUGAAUCAGGUUGUGGCUUCUGCAAAAAUCUGAUGGGAAACUCAGGCAGUACCUGCCUGACAGUCCAUGUGUCAUUAACUAUGGGAACAAAGCCUGCUGUUACUGGAGCAUUCCACUCCCACCCCACUCUCCCGAACUUCAAUAGUCAGGCUCAGAUGAUGCAAAAUACAGCUUUCUAUAGCUACAAGACCAUUAUUAGACUGAAUAAUUCAAAAUACUGACAAAAAAAAACAGGAUUCCCAGCUGGGCCUUGUGCUCCAAAGAAAAAAAAAGGCUACUAAUCACAGCAAGGAAAGCAAGUUCUGAGCCAAGAUCAAUUAAAAUUAACAACGGCAAAGUUGAUAGUACUAGGGCAGAUGUGCCCACCAGCUUCAGCCUGCCACUCUUGUGAUCCCCCUCUCAAGAUGCUGUCAUCCUAGAGAACAGUAUUUCAGUACUACUUUCUAGGUUGUGAUACUACAUCAAAUCCUCCCAGGGAACCUCUUUUGACCUCAGCUGCAAACAUGGGAAGUUACUUGGACUUCCCAAGGUCACCCCCAUAUUCAUCAAACAUCAGUCCAGGUCUGUGUAACAUGAUGGCACACUGCAUAGUUCUGGUAAAACAAAAGCCAUACCAAUGUGCACAGUUUGGUCUUUGACUUAGAACAUCUUUGGUCUUACCUGAGAUUCCUCACUCCUCCUAGCUUGUGGGGUUUCUGUGGAUCCAUUGAUGUUCAACGUGUCUUUCUGCUUGUAUUUUCUCAUAAUCAAGCUGUCCACAACCCAGAACAUAACGGCCUUUGGAAGAAAGGAGUUUAAUGAAUAGACCGCAAAGACCAAGAUGUAAAGUCAUGCAAGCCAAGCUACUUCUCUUUUUGGAUCGUCCAAACCUCUAUCUUCCAGCAGCCUAAUAUCCAAAUGAAUCUCGUGUUAAGUGUAUCUGUUGGAGUGGAUGAGGCAAGUUGCUAAGGUCCCUUCCUCACAAAUUCUGAGGAUUCCCUUUUCACUGGAGACCAAAUGAAAACAGGUCAGAGUAGACCAAGUUUCUGCCAGAAUUAAUCAUGGAACCAACACCAUCCAAUAUUCAUUCACUUGUUCUGCCUGCACCAGUCACUUUAAGAACCAGAGCUUGCUUUCAAGUAAGUGCACCAUGGGAUGGAGUUGGGAAGAGAGGUUAGAAUAGCACAGGCAGGAAAACCCAUCCUUGCCAACACUCCACCUGUUGUAAGAAGCAUGAAGAUAUCACUUCUUUUCCAGGGGAGAUCUCAAUGCUAAGAUCUUUUUCUCACUUACCAUAUUGGGGUAGUAAUUGAUCUGUCAGUAAAACAUUGCAUAGAAUCAGGAAAACUAGAGAAAACAGAGCUUUUGCCAAGCUAAAUUUGAAGAUACCAGUAGUUUUGGGCAGUCUGAACUAAUCUAUACAAACGGCUGAUAUAGAAUAAGUUACUUUAUAGUAUCUUUAACUUUGAACUACUGCUCCUCAGCCCCCAUCACUAUAUCCAUCACAAGAGCUUUAGCACUUCUGUUCAUAUUUUCAUGACUGCUUGCAAAUUUAAGUGACAGUGACAUUACAGCUUCAAAUGAUGCAGUUGGACAGAGACCAUAUCUGGCAGAAGGUCUACUCCUGACAGUACCCAACACCUGUCGAAAGGACCCAAGUCUCUUGUUUUAACAGUGCUUUCUAACCAUGUUGCAUUGCAAAAAACAGCACAGCAGAUUGAAGGCCAAUCCAGUGCCUUCAUACCAAAUACAUGUCACUACACUUGCAGAGAGAUCUGUCAUGCAUUUCAGCGGGACUGAUGUGCACCUAGGACAACCAUAUUCCUACUCUGAAUGCGACUCCAGCCUCUAUUUCUGCUGAAAGCAUGCUUUUUUGGCCACUCUAGUAGCCUUGGUGAAUAUAAGCAAGAAAGUGUUUUUUCUCUUCAAGGUUGGAGUAGAAAUAAGACACAUUUGAGAUAUUUGCA